AUUAUUUCUGAUGACUUAAAGGUAGGCAGACAAUGUAAUAGAGCAGCAGGAAAUGCUAGCAGAAUGCUUGGUUGUAUAGGGAGAGGUAUUAGCAGUAGAAAGAGGGAAGUGCUCAUGCCAUUGUACAGAACACUGGUGAGACCUCACUUGGAGUAUUCUACACAGUACUGGAGACCGUAUCUUCAGAAGGAUAUUGAUACCUUAGAGAGGGUUCAGAGAAGGGCUACUAAACUGGUUCAUGGAUUGCGGGAUAAAA
Pelobates cultripes (western spadefoot toad) is the source of this 256-nucleotide non-coding RNA. NCBI's taxonomy places the organism in Eukaryota, Metazoa, Chordata, Amphibia, Anura, Pelobatidae. The record is from the annotation of a GenBank genome assembly.